This 376-nucleotide ribosomal RNA is filed under the name uncultured bacterium. Its description in RNAcentral is "bacterial SSU rRNA". It matches the Rfam family "Bacterial small subunit ribosomal RNA", at positions 521 to 896 of the family's 1533-position model. The record is from RNAcentral.
UAAUACGUAGGUCCCGAGCGUUGUCCGGAUUUAUUGGGCGUAAAGCGAGCGCAGGUGGUUUAAUAAGUCUGAUGUAAAAGGCAGUGGCUCAACCAUUGUGUGCAUUGGAAACUGUUAGACUUGAGUGCAGUAGAGGAGAGUGGAAUUCCAUGUGUAGCGGUGAAAUGCGUAGAUAUAUGGAGGAACACCGGUGGCGAAAGCGGCUCUCUGGACUGUAACUGACACUGAGGCUCGAAAGCGUGGGUAGCAAACAGGAUUAGAUACCCUGGUAGUCCACGCCGUAAACGAUGAGUGCUAGUUGUUUGGGGCUAUCCAGCCCUAAGUGACGCAGCAAACGCAUUAAGCACUCCGCCUGGGGAGUACGACCGCAAGGUUG